CAUAGGUUAAUGAGGCGAACCGGGGGAACUGAAACAUCUAAGUACCCCGAGGAAAAGAAAUCAACCGAGAUUCCCCCAGUAGCGGCGAGCGAACGGGGAGCAGCCCAGAGCCUGAAUCAGUGUGUGUGUUAGUGGAAGCGUCUGGAAAGGCGCGCGAUACAGGGUGACAGCCCCGUACACAAAAAUGCACAUACUGUGAGCUCGAUGAGUAGGGCGGGACACGUGGUAUCCUGUCUGAAUAUGGGGGGACCAUCCUCCAAGGCUAAAUACUCCUGACUGACCGAUAGUGAACCAGUACCGUGAGGGAAAGGCGAAAAGAACCCCGGCGAGGGGAGUGAAAAAGAACCUGAAACCGUGUACGUACAAGCAGUGGGAGCACGCUUAGGCGUGUGACUGCGUACCUUUUGUAUAAUGGGUCAGCGACUUAUAUUCUGUAGCAAGGUUAACCGAAUAGGGGAGCCGAAGGGAAACCGAGUCUUAACUGGGCGUUAAGUUGCAGGGUAUAGACCCGAAACCCGGUGAUCUAGCCAUGGGCAGGUUGAAGGUUGGGUAACACUAACUGGAGGACCGAACCGACUAAUGUUGAAAAAUUAGCGGAUGACUUGUGGCUGGGGGUGAAAGGCCAAUCAAACCGGGAGAUAGCUGGUUCUCCCCGAAAGCUAUUUAGGUAGCGCCUCGUGAAUUCAUCUCCGGGGGUAGAGCACUGUUUCGGCAAGGGGGUCAUCCCGACUUACCAACCCGAUGCAAACUGCGAAUACCGGAGAAUGUUAUCACGGGAGACACACGGCGGGUGCUAACGUCCGUCGUGAAGAGGGAAACAACCCAGACCGCCAGCUAAGGUCCCAAAGUCAUGGUUAAGUGGGAAACGAUGUGGGAAGGCCCAGACAGCCAGGAUGUUGGCUUAGAAGCAGCCAUCAUUUAAAGAAAGCGUAAUAGCUCACUGGUCGAGUCGGCCUGCGCGGAAGAUGUAACGGGGCUAAACCAUGCACCGAAGCUGCGGCAGCGACGCUGAUGCGUUGUUGGGUAGGGGAGCGUUCUGUAAGCCUGUGAAGGUGUGCUGUGAGGCAUGCUGGAGGUAUCAGAAGUGCGAAUGCUGACAUAAGUAACGAUAAAGCGGGUGAAAAGCCCGCUCGCCGGAAGACCAAGGGUUCCUGUCCAACGUUAAUCGGGGCAGGGUGAGUCGACCCCUAAGGCGAGGCCGAAAGGCGUAGUCGAUGGGAAACAGGUUAAUAUUCCUGUACUUGGUGUUACUGCGAAGGGGGGACGGAGAAGGCUAUGUUGGCCGGGCGACGGUUGUCCCGGUUUAAGCGUGUAGGCUGGUUUUCCAGGCAAAUCCGGAAAACUAAGGCUGAGGCGUGAUGACGAGGCACUACGGUGCUGAAGCAACAAAUGCCCUGCUUCCAGGAAAAGCCUCUAAGCAUCAGGUAACAUCAAAUCGUACCCCAAACCGACACAGGUGGUCAGGUAGAGAAUACCAAGGCGCUUGAGAGAACUCGGGUGAAGGAACUAGGCAAAAUGGUGCCGUAACUUCGGGAGAAGGCACGCUGAUAUGUAGGUGAAGCGACUUGCUC
Molecule: ribosomal RNA, 1571 nt
Filed under: Escherichia coli
Lineage: Bacteria; Pseudomonadati; Pseudomonadota; Gammaproteobacteria; Enterobacterales; Enterobacteriaceae
Description: bacterial LSU rRNA
Rfam family: Bacterial large subunit ribosomal RNA
Source: RNAcentral